UAUCAAUAUUUGCUCCCGCUAACCAAGACCUAUGGGAGGAUAAAUUACGUCUUUUUACCUGCAAGUGAGGGAUUUGCAGGAAUAAGUUUCGCA
This 93-nucleotide non-coding RNA is filed under the name unclassified sequences. RNAcentral's name for it is "PhotoRC-II RNA". It matches the Rfam family "PhotoRC-II RNA". The record is from RNAcentral.